AUUGAACGCUGGCGGCAUGCCUAACACAUGCAAAUCGAACGGAAACGGGCCUCUUGCUCCCGACUUCUGCCGCACGCGGGAGUAUUAUACCUGAACGUCUCCCAUCGUGGGGGGUAUCGCGUCCAAAGCCGUGCUCUUAUCCCAUACGAGCUACGAAUGAGAACAGGGGAGAUCAUCGCAUCGCGCGCGAUCCGAUGAACCUCAGUCGGAUUAGCUAGUUGGUGGGAUAAAUGCCUACCAAGCCGACUAUCGGUAACUGGUCUGAGAGGAUGAUCAGCCACACUGGAACUGAGACACGGCCCAGACUCCUACGGGAGGCAGCAGUGGGGAAUAUUGGACAAUGGGCGCAAGCCUGAUCCAGCCAUGCCGCGUGCAGGAUGAAGGCCUUCGGGUUGUAAACUGCUUUUGUACGGGACGAAGAGCCUUAUUUUAAUACAGGGGGGUCAUGACGGUACCGUAAGAAUAAGCACCGGCUAACUACGUG
RNAcentral lists this ribosomal RNA (484 nucleotides) under uncultured bacterium. RNAcentral's name for it is "partial 16S ribosomal RNA". It matches the Rfam family "Bacterial small subunit ribosomal RNA", at positions 30 to 507 of the family's 1533-position model. The record is from RNAcentral.